Molecule: ribosomal RNA, 198 nt
Filed under: uncultured bacterium
Lineage: Bacteria
Description: partial 16S ribosomal RNA
Rfam family: Bacterial small subunit ribosomal RNA
Source: RNAcentral
ACGCUCGACACCUACGGGAGGCGGCAGUGGGGAAUAUUACACAAUGGGGGAAACCCUGAUGCAGCGACGCCGCGUGGAGGAAGAAGGUCUUCGGAUUGUAAACUCCUGUUGUUGGGGAAAAAGAGGAUGGUACCCAACAAGGAAGUGACGGCUAACUACGUGCCAGCAGCCGCGGUAAUCUGAGCGGGCUGGCAAGGC